Molecule: ribosomal RNA, 645 nt
Filed under: Triticum aestivum (bread wheat)
Lineage: Eukaryota; Viridiplantae; Streptophyta; Magnoliopsida; Poales; Poaceae
Description: partial small subunit ribosomal RNA
Source: RNAcentral
AUGCUCAUGAAGAUAGGGUGCGACGCGUGCGGGCAGGCGGAGGCCGCGGUGCUGUGCUGCGCCGACGAGGCCGCGCUGUGCCGCCGCUGCGACGCCGCCGUGCACUCCGCCAACAAGCUCGCCGGCAGGCACCACCGCGUCGCGCUCCUCUCCUCAACGCCCGCCGGCUCGUCGUCGCCCGGCGCCGGCGACGACGGCGGGAGCCACCCCGCCUGCGACAUCUGCCAGGAGAAAACAGGCUACUUCUUCUGUGUAGAGGACAGAGCCCUCCUGUGCCGAAGCUGCGACGUUGCCAUCCACACCGCAACUCCCAAUGCUUCCACCCACCGCCGAUUCCUCAUCACCGGCGUCCGCGUCGGUGCUGAUCAGGACCAUAUCGGCGAUGUCAGUGGCGCCACGGUCGGCAGCCCCAGCAACAGCAGCGCCAACGGAAGCAAUAACAUGCCCACCUCCGAGAACUUCGCCAUUGCCAACGACCAGCGGUCGGAGGAGGGGGUGGGGCUGAUCGGAGGAGGAGAAGACGACAUUGGCCAGCAGCAGCAAUGGCCUUGGAGCGAUAUUUUUGCUGAUGAUGGUGUUGGCAUGGAUCAACACCAGUGCUACCCUGGCUUCUCUGAACCUGGUUCCUCCAGCCUCACUGGAUGA